UACGGAGGGUGCAAGCGUUAAUCGGAAUUACUGGGCGUAAAGCGCGCGUAGGCGGUUUGUUAAGUUGGAUGUGAAAUCUCCGGGCUCAACCUGGGAACUGCAUCCAAAACUGGCAAGCUAGAGUAUGGUAGAGGGUGGUGGAAUUUCCUGUGUAGCGGUGAAAUGCGUAGAUAUAGGAAGGAACACCAGUGGCGAAGGCGACCACCUGGACUGAUACUGACACUGAGGUGCGAAAGCGUGGGGAGCAAACAGG
RNAcentral lists this ribosomal RNA (253 nucleotides) under uncultured bacterium. RNAcentral describes it as "partial 16S ribosomal RNA". It matches the Rfam family "Bacterial small subunit ribosomal RNA", at positions 524 to 776 of the family's 1533-position model. The record is from RNAcentral.